RNAcentral lists this long non-coding RNA (561 nucleotides) under Rattus norvegicus (Norway rat). Its description in RNAcentral is "long non-coding RNA NONRATT026972". Lineage: Eukaryota; Metazoa; Chordata; Mammalia; Rodentia; Muridae. The record is from RNAcentral.
GAUAUUGGAAUCAACCUGACAGAUCCUAUGUUCAGAGGAAUUUAUAGGGGCGUGCAGAAGCAUCAAGGUGAAUGUCUCUUUUACUAAGAUGACUUACAAGAUGUAAUAGGGAGAGCUGUCCAGAUUGGUGUUAAAAAGUUUAUGAUCACAGGUGGAAGUCUACAAGACAGUAAAGAUGCACUGCGGUUGGCACAAACAAAUGGUACCCUCUUAUUCCUUUUACCAAAACAAAUGUGAAUUGCUUAAUUAGGAAGAAGUCUUUCUCAGAACUGCUUCAGGUACAAAUACAGUGACUCCUGACAUAGACAUACAGGAAAAUAGAUUGAUUUCAGUGGAACAUGCUUUUAAGAUGACAAAGAUUAGAGUACUCUUUGGUAUAUCAGAUGUUCAAUAAAGUCUUAUAGUACUUAACAUGAUUACUUCAGUAAAUAAUAGCAAAGUUACCUACAUACAUAAUUUAUCUUCAAGUUGUUCUGAUGUAGAGUUUUUAUGUGCAUAUUUUAAUGUUUGAUAUGAAUUGUUUUUAUUUAAAAUCUUUUAACUUAAAUUGAGAAGAAUCAU